Molecule: ribosomal RNA, 433 nt
Filed under: uncultured bacterium
Lineage: Bacteria
Description: partial 16S ribosomal RNA
Rfam family: Bacterial small subunit ribosomal RNA
Source: RNAcentral
AACGAACGCUGGCGGCAUGCCUAACACAUGCAAGUCGAACGAAGGCUUCGGCCUUAGUGGCGCACGGGUGCGUAACGCGUGGGAAUCUGCCCUUGGGUUCGGUAUAACAGCUGGAAACGGCUGCUAAUACCGGAUGAUGACGAAAGUCCAAAGAUUUAUCGCCAGAGGAUGAGCCCGCGUUGGAUUAGGUAGUUGGUGGGGUAAAGGCCUACCAAGCCGACGAUCCAUAGCUGGUCUGAGAGGAUGAUAAGCCACACUUGGACUGAGACACGGCCCAGACUCCGACGGGAGGCAGCAGUGGGGAAUAUUGGGCAAUGGGCGCAAGCCUGAUACAGCCAUGCCGCGUGAGUGAUGAAGGCCGUAGGGUUGUAAAGCUCUUUUACCCGGGAAGAUAAUGACUGUACCGGGAGAAUAAGCCCCGGCUAACUCCGUG